This 1337-nucleotide ribosomal RNA is filed under the name metagenome. Its description in RNAcentral is "bacterial LSU rRNA". It matches the Rfam family "Bacterial large subunit ribosomal RNA", at positions 1564 to 2910 of the family's 2925-position model. The record is from RNAcentral.
UGAGUACGAGCUGCUACGGCAGCGAAGUGGGUGAUGUCAAGCUUCCAAGAAAAGCCCUAUACCCGUUAAGGCAUGACGGCCUGUACCCGAAACCGACACAGGUGGGGUGGUAGAGAAUACCGAGGGGCGCGUGAUAACUCUCUCUAAGGAACUCGGCAAAAUGGCCCCGUAACUUCGGGAGAAGGGGUGCCACCGCAAGGUGGUCGCAGUGAAGAGGCCCAGGCGACUGUUUACCAAAAACACAGGUCUCCGCUAAGUCGCAAGACGAUGUAUGGGGGCUGACGCCUGCCCAGUGCCGGAAGGUUAAGGAAGCUGGUCAGCGCAAGCGAAGCUAGCGACUGAAGCCCCGGUGAACGGCGGCCGUAACUAUAACGGUCCUAAGGUAGCGAAAUUCCUUGUCGGGUAAGUUCCGACCCGCACGAAAGGCGUAACGAUCUGGGCGCUGUCUCGGAGAGAGGCUCGGCGAAAUAGAAUUGUCUGUGAAGAUGCGGACUACGUGCACCCGGACAGAAAGACCCUAUGAAGCUUUACUGCAGCUUGGUAUUGUGCCCGGGCUCUGAAUGCGCAGGAUAGGUGGGAGGCUUUGAUCCAUUGCUUGUGGGUAAUGGUGAGCCACUGGUGAGAUACCACUCUUUCAGAGCUAGGGUUCUAACGGUCACCCGUUAUCCGGGGACCGGACAGUAUCAGGUGGGCAGUUUGACUGGGGCGGUCGCCUCCUAAAAGGUAACGGAGGCGCGCAAAGGUUCCCUCAGGCUGGUUGGAAAUCAGCCGACGAGUGUAAAGGCAGAAGGGAGCUUGACUGUGAGACCUACAAGUCGAACAGGGACGAAAGUCGGCCUUAGUGAUCCGACGGUUCUGAGUGGAAGGGCCGUCGCUCAACGGAUAAAAGUUACUCUAGGAUAACAGGCUGAUCUCCCCCAAGAGUUCACAUCGACGGGGAGGUUUGGCACCUCGAUGUCGGCUCAUCGCAACCUGGGGCUGAAGUCGGUCCCAAGGGUUGGGCGGUUCGCCCAUUAAAGCGGUACGCGAGCUGGGUUCAGAGCGUCGUGAGACAGUUCGGUCCAUAUCCGGUGCACGCGCAGGAACAUUGAGAGGAUUUCUCCCUAGUACGAGAGGACCGGGAGGAACGCACCUCUGGUGUACCAGUUAUCGUGCCAACGGUAAACGCUGGGUAGCCAUGUGCGGAGCGGAUAACCGCUGAAAGCAUCUAAGUGGGAAGCCCACCUCAAGAUGAGUGUUCCCAUGGCAUAAGCCAGUAAGGUCACGGGAAGAACACCCGUUGAUAGGCUCUACGUGGAAGCGUGGCAACACGUGAAGCGGAGGAGUACUAAUAGACC